CUCUGUUGGAGUGAGGUGGUUCGUUUUUUUGUAGUGAUAUGAAUAUUUUUUAUGUAAACUAUUUGGAGAAAACUGAAUUUGAUAAUGGAAAACCAAACCACUAGAACCACUACUUACUGAAUUUUCCUUUUAUUUUCGUUUUGCUUAUUGGAGAAAUACUACAAAUACUUCUCCUUUUUAUUUUGUUUUUGGUUUUUGGAGAAAUACUGCAAAUACUUCUUAACAUUAUUGGAAAAAAAUUCCACAACACUACCUGUACCAUUGAAAUAAGCAAAUAUGCUUAAUUAAUUUACAAUUGAAUAAAAUGAAAAUCAAUUCUCUUUGAUGUUUGGGAUUUAUUUUUUGAUAACGCACGAAUACGAGAAAAUGUAAGCGAAGCAAAGGAUAACGCAACUUUUUUAGUUUAUUGGUAGAAAAGGUGACGAAUAAUGGCACGCAUCAAUAAAUAGCAGGAAGUCUUUUUACAAUUGGAGUUACACGAAGUAUAACUAAGUAAAGGUUGGUAACGCAUGUAUAUGUAUGUACUUUGCUGAUGAAUAUUUACAAUGAAAAUGAUUCCCACAUAUUUCUGUGGAAAUACGGUUGGUAUAGAUAGGUACAUUUUGUAUCAAUAGUAUUACAAAUAUGUACUAGAUGAACGUAAUAAAAACGACCAAAAACGCGGUCAUAAUUACGGUCACGACGACUGUUUACGCGGAACCCUUCAUCUGGCCUUUCGCAAGUGGCCACGGUCUUGUUACUUGCAGAUAUAAUGCAAGUAAUUACAUAUAACUUGUAAUUUGCAUAGUGAUGUUGAUGGGU
Long non-coding RNA from Agrilus planipennis (emerald ash borer), 801 nucleotides. RefSeq lists it as uncharacterized. The transcript has 4 exons. NCBI's taxonomy places the organism in Eukaryota, Metazoa, Arthropoda, Insecta, Coleoptera, Buprestidae. The record is from RefSeq and is a predicted model, not a curated record.